Salvelinus sp. IW2-2015 is the source of this 625-nucleotide long non-coding RNA. RefSeq lists it as uncharacterized. The record is from RefSeq and is a predicted model, not a curated record. NCBI's taxonomy places the organism in Eukaryota, Metazoa, Chordata, Actinopteri, Salmoniformes, Salmonidae.
UUUCUGUAAUCCAGACUUGCAAGMUAACGUUAASUUUAAUAAUUGUUGCUAAGCGAUGCACUUUUGCUAGUARUACUAGCUAGCUUGCUACGUUUUAYGUCYCAACAAUUGUUUGUUUGUAUUCCUGUUCCUAAUUUUAGAAUCAAAUGUACUGGAUGAGGUCCAGUUGGAUGUGCCACUGCUGCCAGUCAUCCUUGAUGUCCAGGAUGCUGCUAUCAUCCUUGAGGAUGUGCCAGAUGUGCCGACUAUCCUUGAGGUACAAUUUUCAGAACGUUUUUGGUUUUAUGUUUGAAAAGUAUCCCAGAUAUUAAUUCUAAAAAAUCUUUGUUGUCUGCUUUAGGAGGCCACUGGUAAUUGGCAGUUGAUACCGAUUAGGUUCAGCCCCCUGUACUGUGGGCCUGUUGUGAUCAGAAACAAUGCCGGUCCGGUGGCUAAAGCUUGGAGAACUUUCCAGUUCAUCAGCCCCAUUAUCACCUACAUGCGUGGGGGAUCCCAGCAGGUGGUGGUGAGGAUGCACCAUGUGAGUAGGGUUCGAGGCCUGGAGACUCAACUGGUGUGGGCCAUCUCCAGGGAGACAGCCAGACUUAGUCCAGAGGGCAUCCCCUACUGUGCCACCAAGGUGCAG